UUCAUAUCUCUAAAUUGUAUACCAUGCCUAAUUAAUGCCAUUGACAUAUAAAAGAGCAAUGUUUAAAUCCUUUUUGAGCAGCAUUUUGGGUUAUGUUUCAAAAAAUUCUUAAUAAAUAAAUACAAAAAUAAAUGUACAAAGAAUGUAUAUAUAUAAAAUAAUACAAAAAAUUGUAGAGAAAUAUAAAAACAAACAUAAAUGAGAAUUGGUAUUUCUUUAUUUUUGUAUUAUUAGGGGUCAAGCACCGAAGGUGCUGAGACACCUAUUGGAAUUGUUAUUAUUAUUAUUAUUAUUAGUGAUGGACAAAUGAGGCUUCCUGAACCACUGAGGCUUUCCAGCCCAUUGGUUCGCCAAAAGGUUCAUUUACCCGAAGCCUCAUGAAACAGUGUGCUCUCUAGUGCUCUGCUGUGCAAAGCAAUGUAUCCCACACAAAUCUAUUCAUCCUGAGCAACCAAAUUGUCAUGGUGUGGGCUUUUUCUAUUGCCUGUGUAUUAAAUAAAGUAUUUUACUCUGCUUGUGUUAACCUAUGUACACACAACUCACACAUACACAACUUUAAACUCCAAACAAUAUUUGGAUUGAGGCGGUUUCUCUUUUUAGAAAGCACCUCUCCAGCCUUAGAAAACACCCUUUCACAGGGCACCGAUGAUGCUGGACAACACAGGAAGGUUAGUGCCAGUUUAUUUAAAUUGGGAUAUUGGAGCUUCUGUUUGUUCCAAUAUCCCAAUGGAUCCUCAGUCCUUGCCAGAUUUGUCUCUGACAAAUAACGAUCAACUUCAAUUGUUGCAUCUGCGGUCACACUGGAGCUCCGUCUGCUGUUAUCCACUGUGGUGUCCAGCAGGUGCCAAAGGUCACCUAUAAUUAUAAAAAGAAAAAAAAGCUCACUUCUCAAUGGUUCAGAUUACAUUACAAGUGUGAACAUUCACAUAAGACAUAGACUACUUACCACAGGUUGUAGAUUGCCCAGCUUGUGAGGCAGGCAGCUGAGCUGUGGGUGGGGUAUCAGAAUUUCUUAUCACAUUCACACAUUCUGACUUUAGUCUUGUGAUGGCAUCUUGUAGCUUUCCUGGACUUAGGAAGCCUAGUUUUUGAACCUAGGGUCCACCAAUGUAGGCAUUGUCAUCACACUUAUGGAUUCCAUUUGCAAUGCAUGCUCUCUGAUGCGACGAACAAGGUUGUCAGCCAGCUGCCUUGCCAUAUUUGAUGUUAAGCCCUCUUUUUGUUUCAAUGGUGAGGUUUAGCAUCUUCAGUAGGGGAAUAACCUUUGAUGGUGGCACUAUUUUCUUUGCAGAAAGCUCUACUGUGGCCUGGUGGAAUGGGGCCAGUAUUUCAAGAGCAUCUUUCAUGGUGUCAUAUUCCAAUGAAGUAGAAGGGGUUACAUCUGUCCUUAAAGAGGCCAAGGCUGCCCCCACUGGCUCUCUCAGGUCAUACAGCCUUUCCAGCAGGCAAGUGCACAGAUAGGGCUCAACCUGUGCAGAACACAUGCCCUUUUUGUCCUUACAUUCCGAAGUGCCCUUUUUUGGAGGUGUUUUGUUAUUUUUUUUAUAUAUAAAUUAAUGCUAUUGUUAAACACUUACGUCUGUCUGUGUGUUUUACAAAUAUAUUUAUCAAAUAAAAUUAUUAAAAAACUCAAUCUUUUUGGAUCCGCUCAAACUGUCUGUCAAACCUCUUAACUCCGCCCCCUGAGUGCAGCGAGCUGAAGUUCCACAGCAGUCAGAGGCAGCUGAACGUCUUGCAACGGUAAAUAAGUAUCUUGUUGUUUGAGUACAAUGCUGUCUCAUUACGAAAGAAACACUAGUAUGUAUAUAACGGCGCAUAUUUUAUAAAUUUGAGCAGAGCCGAAUUAUCCAUAGAUGGGAUUGGUCGAGUGGGCAAUCAGGGGCACUAAGGGCUCCAAACUGCGAACAAAUUGAGUUUUUGACAAAGCGCGAGCAGUUUUUAAACAAGUGUUCACCCCUAUGGUUCACCCAUGUGAAGGGCACCCGUGACAACAAUACAGAAUGCAUGGUCGGGUUUUUACCGCUUUUUUGCAUGACGCGUCUCAAUCGUUAAACUAAAGUCAACACAUCUCACGUCAACACAUCUAGCCUACAUUAACACCAAAAACAUAUCAGAUUAGAAAGGUCUUAGACAUCAGAUGCCUGGAUAGAGACGAAAAACGUGUAAAGGAUACAAGUAUGUACAUUAUAUUGCCCUGUCACUCAUUACAGUAUGCAAUCUGGACAUAAUUUAUGCAUGUUUCUUAUGCCUUGAAUUAGUCAAUUGUAUGAUUAUUUGGUUCAUAACUUUUUAUUCAGAAAUCAACUGCAUAGAGUAAAGUCUAUUUAGUAUUUAGUAUAUUUUUCAGUAAUGCAGUUAUUUGCACCUUCAAAAGACCAAGGUUCCUGGUCCUCAGCACAGUUUUUGCCAGUUAGGCAGAUACAUGUUGAAUAUGCUAAUGGUAUGGCUAUAGUAUAGUAUAAUCUCCUAUUUUGAUCUUUAAUCUCCUAUUUCCCCCUCUUCUCAAUCACAUACAUAAACAUGUUAACCAAAUAAUAAAAAUUAGCUUAUAAAACCAAACAGAAUACCUUUUUUUUCUUCAAACAUAUUUUUAUGUAACUUCCCAGCUAGCAGGGAACGUUCUUAGAACUUUCGCUAACAUUCCUUACUUGUUUGGUUUAUGUCCUAAAGAAAACAUUUGAAUAUAAUGUUAAACUAACAUUUUAAGGAUGUUUUCUCAUUUUAAAAAAUGUUCCCAUAACGUUAUAUGAAAACUAAGAUAUAACAUUUUAACUGCAACAUUCAAUAUCAUCUUUGGAUCCUACCAGAUCAUCUUUGGAUCCUAACGACUUGGAAGCUUUAACACCUAAUCAUCUCCUGCUUCUAAAACCAAAGUUAACACUACCACCUGGAUUGUUUGAAAAGGAAGAUUUAUAUGCCCGUCGAAGAUGGUGUCAAAUUCAGUAUUUGGCCGACCAGUUUUGGAAAAGGUGGAUUGGUGAAUAUCUACCUCUACUACAAGAACGCCAAAAGUGGAUGGCCAAGACACGGAACUAUUAGCUGGGAGAUGUUGUACUGGUAGUGGAUGUACUGGUAGUGGAUGAAAACGCUCCUAGAAGUUCCUGGAUCAUGGGCAAAAUUGUUCAUAUGAUAAAUGACAAAAAAGGAUUCACACGGCAAGUUCAGAUCAAGACUAAGAGUACUUGCUUGACUAGGCCAAUCACAAAGAUUUGUCUUCUUCUUGAAGCCGAGGGAUUUAAAGAUUGACUGUCACUGACAUUUGAGAGCUCUCAACUGACCCCUUUUACUUGACCUUUUGACUUUUUGACUUUUUUGACUUUUUGACUUUUUUGACUUUUUGACUUUGACUUGAUUGAAUUACUGACUUUACUGACUUAGACUGGACCUUUACAUUGACUUUACUUGGCUACAAGGAUGAACUAAAUGAACAUUUGAAAUGAUCUGGACAUUUUCACACACAUACAUUUUUCACAUUUCCUUAAGUAUUUUGUAAAAAAAAAAAGGGAAAAUCAUGUACAACAAUUAAUUAUGUAAUGUAUGUUAAUAUUGUUGUUCUCAUUCUCAUUGUGUCUGUGAUUAUUACAGGUUUAUAGUGUAAUAAUCAGGGGCUGGAAUGUAGGUGCAGAAAACCUGGGUCUUUUAUUUUGUAUUUUGCACGGAUGUUUCCAGGUGGUUUGGUCACAUGACUAUCAUGGGUAUUUACCUGGGCUGCGUUCAGCCCCGACAAAACGUUGCACAACGUUUAUUAAACAGAAACGGUGAUGCAUUGAACACCCUGUUGUGAUGACGCAAGAGUUGCAACUACGGUAGCUGAGAGGCCAUUCUUUGUGUUCUUUUUAAAAUGUUUCUAAAGCCUGAUGAAAUCGUUAUAAAUGUGUGUUUAAUACUGUAAAAUACCCUCGAUGUUACAGUCACUGACUAUGCCGUCCAGAAUGAAAGACAAUAUUCCAAAUUGAACCCAUUGAGCGAGCUGUCUCUUUACUACCGCGUGGUUUUAUACAUCUUGCCGCUGAUUGGGCCGACAUUUCUGACACACCCACCAAACAAGAGAAAACGCUUCUAAAACCUGUUGCAUUCCGUUGCACACCGUUUCCAGGAAACAUGUCGUUCAACCCGGAAACCGUAGCAAAACGUUGCGCACCGGUGUGAGUUUGAACGUGCCCCUGGUGGCAUUUCCUGUUCUGUUUAGCAAGUGUUUAGGUGUGUGUGUAGAGAGGGGGUGAGUAGCCAGGAGUGUUCACUUUCUGUUGAUCGUUUUCGUUUAAGUUUACUUUCAUGUUCAUGCAGUAGGAUGCAUUUUUAACAGCCAAUGUUCCUACAUGAAUGUUAUGUCUUAAUAAACAUCCUUGGAUUUUAAAUGCAACGAAACGCGUCACGGAUCUUUCCUGCUGCUUAGCCUCUCAGCGGCUAUAGGCUGCCGCUACACAAAUGUUUCCCGUGGAAGUUUGAAUCUCUCUCAGUCAGGGGGGAGAUUGACUAACAGAUGGUCUACUUGCCACCAAACAGUAAUUUACCCUGAAACCUUUUUAAGGUAACGUUACCACAUUUAUUUAUUAUGUUGUUUGAGUACACCACAGUUCUGUAAGUGGAAAAUUAAUUUAUAUUUAUGUGUGUUUACUCACAGUUUAGCACAAAUGUUUCCAGUGGAAGUUUGAAUCUCUCUCAGUCAGGGGGGAGAUUGACUGACAGACGGUCUACUUGCCACCAAACAGUAAUUUACCCUGAAACCUUUUUAAGUUUAGCACAAAUGUUUCCAGUUGUUGUUUGAAUCUCUCUCAGUCAGGGGGGAGAUUGACUGACAGACAGUCUACUUGCCACCAAACAGUAAUUUACCCUGAAACCUUUUUAAGUUGAGCACAAAUGUUUCCCGUGGAAGUUUGAAUCUUUCCCAGUCAGGGGGGAUAUUGACUGACUGACUGACUGUCUACUCGCCACCAAACAGUCAGUUAAACAGAGGUAACAAGUAAGGACUAACGUUAACUGACCUGUCUGUCUGUCUGUCUGUCUGCUCUCAACCAAACAGUCAUUCAAGACCUUUUAAAGUUUAGUGCAAACGUUUCCAGCGCAAGUUUGAAUCUCUCUCAGUCAGGGGGGAGAUUGACUUACAGACUGUCUACUCGCCCCCAAACAGUAAUCUACACAGAAACCUUUUAAAGUUUAGCACAAACGUUUCCCGCGCAAGUUUGGAUCUUUACCAUUGAGGGUGGCUGACUGUUUUCGACCAACCAUCAUUCACACGCAAAAACUUUUAAGAUAAGUAUGAACUUGCCCAGAGCAGUUUUCGAUCUUUACCAUUAAGGAGGCUGACUGACUAUCCUCUACCAACCGUCAUUAACACAAGAAAAACUAAAGAAAUGUUACUCCAUAUGGACCUAUUCAUUUACUCAUUAUGCUGUGAGUACACCACAGUUUUAUCAGGGAUAUUUAUAUUUGUGUGUUUCUCACUGCUUGACAAGGACAGAUGUGGCCCUGUUAAAAUUUUUUAAAUGUCGUUUGGUUUAAGGAACAGCACACUGAUUUUCUUUUAAAAUAUUCCUGUUUGGACAAUCUGUUAAAGUCAUAAAGGAAUACUUGAUAUAUUUCAUAAGUAUAAGUGUAAAUGUAAUAUUAGUUUUUAAUGUUGUGAAUUUGGACUGAAAA
This is a non-coding RNA of Paramisgurnus dabryanus, 5640 nucleotides long. The record is from RefSeq and is a predicted model, not a curated record. NCBI's taxonomy places the organism in Eukaryota, Metazoa, Chordata, Actinopteri, Cypriniformes, Cobitidae.